Molecule: unclassified non-coding RNA, 778 nt
Filed under: Hevea brasiliensis (rubber tree)
Lineage: Eukaryota; Viridiplantae; Streptophyta; Magnoliopsida; Malpighiales; Euphorbiaceae
Source: RNAcentral
GGCCCAUAGGUUGGGUCGUGACAAGAAGGGUCCUUAGAGAUCACUGGAAUUGAACUCUAUGGUAGUCUUGGAUCUUAUCUCUACUGAGAAUUUCUCAAUGUUGUCUUAUUGAAGAGCCCUUAGGAGAUAUAGUUUGUGUCAUUGUUAUAGGGAGCCAAUAGAGUUGUUGAUAGCCUGUUUAAUUUGAAGAAAUUAUAUAAUAAAGUGAUUAUUUCAUGUCAGUAUUUGAUAUGAAAUGAUAACUCGACAGUAAUUAAACAUAUAUGUAAAUGUAGUUAUUAUUUAAAAAAAAAAAAAACUGUAAGGUAGGUUACAAAUAUUUGAAAUCCACUCAUGUAUACCUAUAAACCCAUUCAUACAUAUAUGUCCAUUUAUUAUUAGAUUGAAACCUCAAUGCAUAUAAAUCAAAAUUAACCUCAAUGCCAAGCUAUGCUAUAUAUCCUACUACAAUAAUAAUAAUUUGAUGCAAAUUGAGGUUUUAUUGAACUAGAAAGAGAAGACAUGAGGAAGAAGAAGAAAUCAAGAAAGAUUACAAAGAGAAAGAACAAGCUCAUGAAUACUCAUACAUGACUUCUCUAUAAUUACAUGAGCCUAUUUAACAAGAUCCAAGAACAAUUGAACAAUGCCCACAGUAGAAUGACAGCUCAUGCAUUCAGUUACAAUACAACAAAAUGAUAGCUCAUGCAUUCCAUUAAAACAACUCCCAUCCUUCGUGCCAAUCCUUCUCCCACUAUUUCAUCUACUUAUUGAUAUGACAUCAUCUCAUUAUUGCUACCUG